Molecule: long non-coding RNA, 3708 nt
Organism: Gorilla gorilla gorilla (western lowland gorilla)
Lineage: Eukaryota; Metazoa; Chordata; Mammalia; Primates; Hominidae
Exons: 3
Source: RefSeq, a predicted model, not a curated record
GGUGAUUGGUGGAUGGAAAUGGGAGGUCUGGAAAGUCCCAAAGAGUAAGAAACCAGUAACUAACAGAAAUUUUUGAGUUUCAAGAUAGCAGAUAAGAAAAGAAACUUAAGCCGCUGAAACUCCCUCCACUUGUGAGAUCAAGAAAAACCUGGCUGAAACUGGUUGGAACCAAGAUGGCUAACUGGAGCGUGCACAGAAUAAGCUUGCUGAUGUCAUAGCCUGAAUUUCCACCACAUGUUUCAUACUAACUCUCCCUGAAUUUGCCAUGCAACUCAGGAGUUAACAUGAAGAAAUAACUGUGCAUGCCCAAGGACUUUCCAGACCUCCCUUUUCCUUGCACAAAUCACCUACUAAUCUCAGAAUCCACCCCCGAACCUUUUCUAAUAAAAAUACUGCCUUAAUGCCAGCACAGAGAGACAAAUUUGAGCUUGACUCCUGUCUCCUUCAGAGGUGACUUUUAAUAUAAAGCUUUUCUUUUUUUCAAAAACUUGGUGUCAGUAUUGGGUUCUAGCAUAUUGGGCAGUGAGCCCCUUUUGCUUGAUAACAAACUAGAACCCCAGGUGAGACGAACAACCUGUCCAAGGUACUGUUGCCCCUAGUGGUGUGCAGGCCCCCUGCACUGAUCCUGAGUGGCCACCUAGACCAGGGUGUCCAGAGGCUCGACUAUAGGGUUCCUUCUUCUCCACCAUGGCACUUCAGGCUCCCUUGGCACUUCUCUUUUGGGAAAAGAAAUUGCUUCUGGAUUAGACAUCUUUCUGGGUCUUACUCUGUCACCCAGGCUGGAGUGCAGUGGCAUGAUCUUGGCUCACUGCAGCCCCAACAUCCCCGGCUCAAGCAAUCCUCCCGCCUCAGCCUCCUAAGUAGCUGGGACCACAGAAACCCAAACUGAAGAACAUGUUCAGUGAAGCAACCAGAGCUAAAUCAUUUGAAAUGCAUUAGCCAGUACUCGCCGCAAAUUAAUUUAACACCUGUCACAUGUGUCUGGGUGAUUUUCCCGUGAAAGGUGGCGUGAGUUGAUUGGACUCCAGGAGGAACGCUGCGCUGAAUGGCUCAAGAUUUACUACUAACCACGCACUGCACAGAGAAGGCUGCGUGUUACCAAGGCCUCCAUGGAAUUAGGGGGAACUGCCAACAAACCAGUGCAGAGCCUGCAAAUGUCAGCUAGAAGGAGGAUGAGACAUGAUUUGGAUAUUUUUCCAAGAAGCAAAGGCUCAGUUCAUUUAGAAGAGUUUCCUUAAGGAUAAAGGAAGUAUCCAGAACCUACUCUAAGAAAGGGAAAUGGCUUCAUGCUUUCCUCUCCCAUUCCCAUACCUGCAGGAAAAUCAGAUUUCCUCAUGGUCCUGUCGUUUUCUCAGGCCUGAGAGGAGGGACACUUCACCACCGCCCCCCCUCCCCACCCCCGCCCCAAUCUCAGUGGGCUUAGCAAGACAAGAAGCAGACUCCAGCUUUGGAGAGAUGGGUAGGAGACGCAUUUGGCCUGGUUCAGCUACUACUUUAGAUGUAGAUCUUGAACAAGUUUCAAAAAUGAAUGAAAGUAGCUUUUUAUGAAUCUGGGCCCGAUCUCCCGAUUGCCCCUCCAGAGCGGCUCCCUGCCCUUCCCUGCCCCUGAAGGCUGACCUGUGAGCCCCUUUGGGCUGCUGAUGGACCUGUGCUCCCACCCUGGCUGAAAAAGCAAAGAAAAGGGAGUGGCUAUCAGAAAAUGGAAGAAGAGAGUAAAGAAGACAGUGCUGGCUUGAGAGAAGCAGUGGCUUCAGGUAAAAGGCUACUGCCAGCGAUAUGGACGGGAGACAGAGAAAUGCUAGAAGAGGGCGGUUCCCCAACAAAGGCCCCACCCACAAGCCUGGACACCUGUGGCCCUAAAUGAGAACAGGCAUUCCUGUUUUUGCACCCAAAAAGUGGUCUUUUGGUAUGCCACACCCCCUAUCCUAUACCCAUAUAAACCCUGAACUCCAGGCUCCAGCUCAGACCAGCAGAGGAGGAGACGAGACAAGCAGACAAUGCAGAACAGUGCAGCAGAGAGAACUCGAGAGGAAUUCAGCCAGGGUGGUCAGAGAGGAGUUUGGCUGCUGGACAGCCCACUCCAAGGGAAGAUCAUCUUCCCACUCCAUCUCCCCUCCUUCCAGCUCCCUAUCCAUCCUGCCGAGAGCCACCUCCACCGUGCAUGAAAACCUCGCAUUCAUCCUUCAAGCCUGUGUGUGACCCGAUGCUUCCGGGACGCUGGGCAAGAGCUCAGGAUACAGAAAGCUGUCACACUGGCCCUCUGCCCUUGAGAAAAGGCAGAGGGUCCAUUGAGCUGUUUAACACUUAAAGCCAUCUGCGGAUGGCAAGGCUAAGAGAAUAUUGUAACAUUGGGGUUGCAGGCACCCACCCCAAGACACUACCAUGGGGCCAGAGCCCAAAGCACCCACCCCAGCCUCUGCACCUGCCCAUCUGAGUGCUCCCUCUCCCGCAAGGGGUUUGAGGCAACGGAACAGGUCUCCUGGGAAGGGGAUCAGGGAACUCUCCCAUUUAACCGGCGCACAGACAUGAAGACACCAUGGGGAGUGUGGGGAGAGCCAGGAGAUGUGUACCGUGACUGCAUCAUCUUUCCACCCUCUGAUCUCCUGUUGAGGGUUCCCACUGAUCAAAUCCAAGAAGCCAGAGGGGAAGAGAGUUCCUCAAUGUAGUCAGUGUCCUGGAGCAAAGAGAGAAGAGGAGAUGAUCCAGGAGCAAAUAGGAGACAACCAGCACAGUUCCCAAAUGUGAGAAACUGAUUACAGCAGAAUCGACUUGAGGCACAUUUUAAAUAUACACAUGAAUUCCUCAGACUCCCCCACUCCCAAUUUCAGAGUAUGUCAGGGGUGGGACCUAAAUAAUUUACGUUAAAAAAAAAAAAUCUUGGCCAGGCACAGUGACUCAUGCCUGUAAUCCCAGCACUUUGGGAGGCCGAGGCAGGCAGAUCACCUGAUGUCAGGAGUUUGAGACCAGCCUGACCAACAUGGAGAAACCCCCUCUCUACUAAAAAUACGAAAAAGUAGCCAGGCGUGGUGGCACACACCUGUAUUUCCAGCUACUCAGGAGGCUGAGGCAGGAGAAUCACUUGAACCCAGGAGAUGGAGGUUGCAGUGAGCCGAGAUCAUGCCAUUGCACUCCAUCCUGGGCAACAAGAGUGAAACUCGGUCUGAAAAAAAAAAAAAAAAAAGAAGAAAGGAAGGAAGGAAGGAAGAAAAGAAAGAAAGAAUCUUCUAUAAAGCAAGCAACUGCAUUUGUUACUAUUCUAGUGUCCUCUCUGGAGUGGCACUUAUCAAAGAAAACAUUGGGUUACUUUCUGUCCUCAAGCACUAACCCCUAGGACAGCUGAAUCUAAGGAUACAUUUUAUACACUUGAACUCAUUAUUGUCCUUUUACCCCCUGAGUAGAAAAUACAAUAGCUCCAAAACAAACACCUGAUUCCUUGAAAAUGCUUCACAGGAAGCCAGCCCCUCAACUUAAAAUGGUAUCAGGUUACAACGGCUGAAGGAGACUGUAUCUCCACAGAGACCAUUCAUUGACAAGGCAUGCCAUUCAGAAGUUUCACUGAAAGAUCGUUCUCUCCAUUAUGAUCAUUGAAGUGAAGGCAAGAGGGGAAAAAAAUUGACAGGCUGAACUCUAGAAACUUGGCUUCAGAAAUGCCUAUUAAUCCAAUACAAUUCAAUACAAUAAAACAUACAAACUCCUGGUAAUCCUCAA